RNAcentral lists this ribosomal RNA (584 nucleotides) under Staphylococcus aureus. RNAcentral's name for it is "partial 23S ribosomal RNA". It matches the Rfam family "Bacterial large subunit ribosomal RNA", at positions 1 to 578 of the family's 2925-position model. Lineage: Bacteria; Bacillati; Bacillota; Bacilli; Caryophanales; Staphylococcaceae. The record is from RNAcentral.
AGAUUAAGUUAUUAAGGGCGCACGGUGGAUGCCUUGGCACUAGAAGCCGAUGAAGGACGUUACUAACGACGAUAUGCUUUGGGGAGCUGUAAGUAAGCUUUGAUCCAGAGAUUUCCGAAUGGGGAAACCCAGCAUGAGUUAUGUCAUGUUAUCGAUAUGUGAAUACAUAGCAUAUCAGAAGGCACACCCGGAGAACUGAAACAUCUUAGUACCCGGAGGAAGAGAAAGAAAAAUCGAUUCCCUUAGUAGCGGCGAGCGAAACGGGAAGAGCCCAAACCAACAAGCUUGCUUGUUGGGGUUGUAGGACACUCUAUACGGAGUUACAAAGGACGACAUUAGACGAAUCAUCUGGAAAGAUGAAUCAAAGAAGGUAAUAAUCCUGUAGUCGAAAAUGUUGUCUCUCUUGAGUGGAUCCUGAGUACGACGGAGCACGUGAAAUUCCGUCGGAAUCUGGGAGGACCAUCUCCUAAGGCUAAAUACUCUCUAGUGACCGAUAGUGAACCAGUACCGUGAGGGAAAGGUGAAAAGCACCCCGGAAGGGGAGUGAAAUAGAACCUGAAACCGUGUGCUUACAAGUAGUCAGA